CCGCUUUCAUGUGCCUUUUGUUACUGCUAUUUAUCCGCUCCCCGCCUGACGCCUUGCUGUUUUAGCUGCCUUAGUACAUAGGUCCCUGACGUGUGCUUGUUCUCUUGAGGUUGCUUUGGGGCGUUUAUGAAUUUAAACAGAUCAGCUGCCGUCGACGUCCUCAUAGAAUCUCUUCUCACAGACCUGCGGCGCAUUCCUAUACAUUGCCUACUCAGAAGUAAGCCCCCCAGCGAGGCAUGGGCCUCUUCCAGACUUUGAGGCCCUAGCCUCUGCUCUCCCCCCCCCCCCCGCAAGACGAAAAGGAGCUCGUACCGGUACUCACCAUGAAGUUGUUGCAUGAGACAAUGAGAGGGAAAGCAAGCAAGGGAGGUACAGGGACAAUAAACUCAGCCAACUCCUAACAACAUGAUGGGUUUACAAUCUCAAGCAUACUUGCCAUUCAAACCAGUGAGACUAAUUUCUGAGUAAACAUGGGUAAGACUGGGCUGCAAGAUUCAUCCUCGCUCCAUUUGAACUGACCAGGAGUUAUAGCGGGGCUGCUACUCAACAUUAUGCAAAUGAGAUGCCAAAAGAGCUCUUUGUUAGAGUAAAAUCUUCUGUUCCCUGAAUACUGUUAACUACAUUGUUAGAAGUACAAUUUGUGAUUGUGUUCCUCAUGGCUGCCUUAACUCCACUGUUAAGUUUGAUUAAGCCUUACAGAGUUAUCGUCUCUAGAGUAGUAUAGAAACUUCAUUACUUCACAAAUGAAAAGCCCAUUGGAUAGAACAUUGUUAACCAAGGCAGAAAGACAGGCUGGGUCACUCAAUUGAUCUUUCAUCCCAAAUUUAAGCUUUAUGUGCCCAUUUCUGUUCCAAUGCAAUUAAAGAUGAGUGAAUUGAAGUUCAGUUUAGUAUAGUGCCAUGUAAGUCUGAAGCUACUUACAUGGCACUAACUAACACAAUAGUUAUUAAUUUACGGUUGCCAUAUUUCAAAAAGUAAAAAACAGUUGUUGAGCGUUUUUUAGGAAGACCCAAAAUACCGUGAUUUUUCGAUUACGCGUGCCUAAACAAAUGUAUGGCAGCCCUAUAUUAAUUACUGUCUCUAAAUAAGAUAAAAAGUUAGCCUCUUUUGGCCUUUUAAAGAAGAACCAGUGUGGAAUAAUGCCCCCCCCCAGUGAGAGAGGGAGGGCAGGAUCCAUACUGGGGUCAGAAUAUGGGGAUUAAAAAUUGCGAUAGGGCUGAAAAGUGGAAACGUAGUUGGGUGGCAUUGUGUAACUGCUAGAGAAUUGGGGGGGCAG
Molecule: long non-coding RNA, 1276 nt
Organism: Zootoca vivipara (common lizard)
Lineage: Eukaryota; Metazoa; Chordata; Lepidosauria; Squamata; Lacertidae
Source: RefSeq, a predicted model, not a curated record